This 68-nucleotide transfer RNA is filed under the name human gut metagenome. It matches the Rfam family "tRNA". From Rfam's summary of the family: Transfer RNA (tRNA) molecules are approximately 80 nucleotides in length. The record is from RNAcentral. RNAcentral also lists the same sequence under 1 other name.
CGGGUAUAAUUUAGUGGUAAAAUGUCAGCUUCCCAAGCUGAAUAUGCGGGUUCGAUUCCCGCUAUCCG